CUUUUUUUUUUUCCAGUUCUUUUAUUGGUACAUUUUAGGUAUACAGUUUGUUUACAUUUAUCAUUAGGUGUUUGUACCUGUACAUGAUAUAUCUUGGUUCUUAUUUUUUUCCCCAUUACCUGUGCGCCCUUCACCCGCUCCGCCCUUCCCUAUUUACAUAGAUUUCAUUUCCAUGUUUUCUUUUCUCAUAGUUUUUCCUUUCCCUCUUUUCCUUUCCCCUUCCCCUCCCUUCACUCCUUCAUCUUUGGACCUUUUUUCCUAUUUCAAAUUAUCAGUUAUUCAUUUUAAUCAUUUUAACCCUUGUUUACACUUUCAGUUUCUCACACUAGAGAAACUAUUUGGUAUUUACUCAUGUGUGUCCUAUUUGUUUCACUUAAGAGUAUGGCCUCGAUAUCCAUCCAUUUAGCUAUAAAUGCCUCUAGUUUUUCAUUCCUUAUGAUUGAGUAGUACUCCAUUUUAUUAAAAAACCACAUUUUCUUUAUCCAGUUUCCAGCUGAUGGGCACUUGGGCUGUUUCCAAGCUUUAGCUAUUACAAACUGUGCCGCUGUGAACAUGGGUGCACAUAUAUCACUGUGGUAUGAUUCUUUUAAUUCUUUUGGGAAGAUACCCAGCAGGGGAGUAGCUGGGUCAAAUGGGACCUGUAGUCCUAGUUCUUUGAGGUAUCUCCAUACUGACUUCCACAGUGGUUGCACCAGUCUGCAUUCCCACUAACAAUGGAGAAGGGUUCCUUUCUCCCCACAACCCCGUCAGCAUUUGUUAUUUGUUGAUUUCUUGAUAGCAGCCAUUCUUUCUGGGGUGAGGUGGAAUCUCAGUGUUGUUUUCAUGUGCCUCUCUUGAAUGAUGAGUGAUGUUGAACAUUUUUUCAUAUGUUUGUUUGCUGCUUUUACUUCUUUGCCUGAGAAAUGUCUGUUCAUUUCAGAUGCCCAUUUUUGAAUUGGGUCUUUGAAUUUGGGGGGUCUGAUUUUUUUCCAUUCUUUAUAUAUUCUAGAUAGUAGUCCUUUGUCUGAGGUACAGCUGCUAAAAUUUUUUCCCACAUUGUAGGUUGUCUGUUAGCUCUGUUGGUGGUUUCUUUUGCAGUGCGGAAGCUUUUUAAUAAGAUGAGAUCCCAGUUGUUGAUUCUUUCUGCUAGUUCUCGUGCUGCUGAGGUUUUCUUCAUGAAGUCUUUUCCUAUGCCAAUGUCUUCAAGAGUUCUACCUAACUUAUCUUCCAGCAAGUUUAGUGUUUCUGUCUUAAUAUUUACAUCUUUAAUCCACUUUGAUCUUCGUUUAGUGCAUAGUGAUAGGUAUGGGUCUAGUUUUAAUCUUUGGCAGGUUGAAAUCCAGUUUUUCCAACACCAUUUAUUAAAUAGGCUAUCUUUCCUCCAGUGAUGGUGAUUGGCUCCUUUGUCAAAGAUGAGGUGGCUGAGCAUGUCUGGAGUUGUUUCUGCAUCUUCUAAUCUAUUCCACUGAUCCUGAGUUCUGUUCCUUUGCCAGUACCAUGCUGAUUUUAUCACAGUAGCUUUGUAGUAUAAUUUCAAGUUGGGGAUUGUGAUACCCCCAACCAUGUCUCUGUUGCUUAGAAUUGCUUUAGCUAUUCUAGAUCUCUUAUGGUUCCAAAUGAAUUUUUGGAUUGUUUUCUCUAGUUCUGUGAAGUAUAUUGUUGGAAUUUCAGUUGGCAUUGCAUUGAAUCUAUAUAGUAGUUUUGGAAGUAUGGCCAUUUUCUCUAUAUUGGUUCUUCCUACCCAGGAGCAAGGGAUGUCUUUCCAUUUUCUUGUAUCCUCUUCAGUCUCUUUUUUCAGAGUGCUGUAGUUUUCAGUGUAGAGGUCUUUUGCUUCCUUUGUUACAUUGAUUCCUAGAUAUUUCAUUUUUCUUGGAUGCUACUGUAAAAGGAAUUGUUUCCCUAAUUUCUCUCUUAGUGAGUCUGUUAUUUGUGUACAAAAAGGCUAUUGUUUUUUGAGUGUUGACCUUGUAUCCAGCUAUUCUACUGAAUCUGUCAAUUAAGUCUAGAAGUCUUCUGGUGGAAUCUUUUGGGUCUUCUAUGUAAAGUGUCAUAUCGUCAGCAAAUAAUGACAGUUUAACUUCUUUUCCUAUCUUUAUUCCUUUUAUUUCUUUCUCUUUUCUAAUUGCUAUGGCUAAUGUUUCCAGAACUGUAUGGAACAGGAGUGGUGAGAGUGGACAUCUUUGUCUUGUUCCUGAUUUUAUCAUGAAAGUUUUCAGUUUUUAACCAUUUAGUAUGAUGUUGGCUGUUGGUUUUUCAUAGAUAGGCUUAAUCAGGUUAAGAUAAAGACCUUCUGUUCCAAUUUUCUGUAGGGUUUUUAUCAUGAAUGGGUGCUGGAUUUUGUCAAAUGCUUUUUCUGCCUCUAUUGAGAUGAUCAUAUGGUUUAUUUCUCUUAAUGUGGUGUAUUACAUUUUUUGAUUUACGAAUGUUGAACCAUCCUUGCAUCCCUGGGAUAAAUCUGACUUGGUUAGGGUGUAUGAUCUUCUUGAUGACUCUCUGUAUUCUGUUUGCCAGUAUUUUGUUGAGGAUUUUUGCAUCUAUGUUCAUUAGGGAGAUUGGCCUAUAGUUCUCUUUUUGGGUUGGGUCUUUCCCUGGUUUUGGAAUCAAAGUAACACUUGCUUCCAGGAAUGAAUUUGGAAGCCUUGCUUCCCUUUCAGUUUCCUUGAUGAGUUUAAAGAGUAAUGGUGUUAGAUCUUCUUUAAAUGUCUUGUAAAUUUCAGCAGUGAAGCUAUCCGGACCUGGGCUUUCCUUUGUUGGUAAAUAUUUUAUUACAUUUUCAAUUUCACUCAUUGUAAUUGGGGUGUUUAGAAUUUCUAUAUCUUCUUCAUUUAACUUUGGCAAUUUGUAUGUAUCUAGGAAUCUGCCCAUUUAUUUUGUGAUUUCCAUUUUAUUGGAGUAGAGGUUCUUAAAGUAUGUAUUGAUGAUCCUCUGGAUUUCUGUUGGAUCUGUUGUGACUUCACCUUUUUCAUUCUUUUUUUUUUUUUCCAGGGCAGAGGCAUUUAUUGCUAAGGUAUCUGGAAAGUUGGAGUUCUGUGUAAAACCUUUUGAUUGUCAAAUGUUGGCAAACUACCGUCACGUUAAAUAUAUUGGCCUGCGAGAUCGGGGCUGUGGGCCACCAGUGUGCACUCUAUUCCAAAAGCUCUUUCAGGAAUGACGUAGGAGAUGGGACUCAGUAAGCUGAUGUCCCCUGGCUUCAGGGGUCCUGAAGAAAUGGAAUGAGUGGGGAGGUCCAGGCCUAGAUCCCUCCAGAGCACUGUAAUGGUAUAGGACAGCCUGGCUCCUGAAUGCCUUUUCAUGCCCACUGUGCCCUCCUAGUGUACGCUGCUGGCAAAGCAGCCACCUCAGGUGUGCCAAGCAUCUACGCCCCCAGCACCUAAGCCUACCUCUCCCCUGCCAAGACCCCACCCCCACUGCCAAUCAUGAUUCCCAUGGGCCCCAUCUACAAUGGCUACCCUGGAGGGUACCCUGGAGACUUCGAUAGGAACAGCUCAGUGGGCGGCCACAGCUCUCAGGUACCCCUGCUUUGAGACACGGACAGCAAUUCAACCUCUGAAGUCCGUAGUGGCUACGGAUCCAGGCCAAUCAGCAGGAUGAUUCCAUGAGAGUCCCAGCCAGGUUCCGCAGAAUCUGCAAGGUCUCCUGCAAGUAGCGGGAGGAGAGGAAGGGCCUAUGCACCCCCUCGAAGCCGCAGCCGUGAUGACCUCUUCAACCCAGACGUCUCGAGGGACUUCCCACACUCUGGAGAUCCCCAUUGUGAUGACUUCAAAUCUAGUAGGGACCGCCCUCCUGCUGACCCCAGAUCCCGCUACCGGUCCCGGGACCCUCGAGAUGAUGGCUCCAGGCCCAGGGAUCCCCAAUAUGAUGGGCGGCUGCUAGAAGAGGCCUUUUCUUUCUCUUGCAGAACUUGGCCCUCAGUCGGGAAAGUUUAGUCGUCUGAUCUCACAUUUUGUAUGUAGCUUUUGUACUUUUUAUUUUUUGGUACUGGGGACUAAACCCACAGGUUUCGCACUGAGCUACGUCUCCGGCCCUUUUUCACUUUUUAAAAUUUUGAGACAGGGUCUCGCAGAGUUGCUGAAGCUGAGCUCGAAUUUACAGUCCUGCCUCGGCCUCCCUGUGUUGGAAUUGCAGGCAUGCGUGCCACUAACUUGCGCCACUUCAUGGAGCUGAUACUUUUUUUAAUUUGAG
RNAcentral lists this long non-coding RNA (4161 nucleotides) under Heterocephalus glaber (naked mole-rat). RNAcentral describes it as "lncRNA (ENSHGLG00100046243.1)". Lineage: Eukaryota; Metazoa; Chordata; Mammalia; Rodentia; Bathyergidae. The record is from RNAcentral.